This 500-nucleotide ribosomal RNA is filed under the name uncultured bacterium. Its description in RNAcentral is "partial 16S ribosomal RNA". It matches the Rfam family "Bacterial small subunit ribosomal RNA", at positions 28 to 523 of the family's 1533-position model. The record is from RNAcentral.
GAUGAACGCUGGCGGCGUGCCUUACACAUGCAAGUCGAACGGCAGCGCGGGAGCAAUCCUGGCGGCGAGUGGCGAACGGGUGAGUAAUAUAUCGGAACGUGCCCAGUAGUGGGGGAUAGCCCGGCGAAAGCCGGAUUAAUACCGCAUACGACCUGAGGGUGAAAGGGGGGGAUCGCAAGACCCCUCGCUAUUGGAGCGGCCGAUAUCAGAUUAGGUAGUUGGUGGGGUAAAGGCCUACCAAGCCUGCGAUCUGUAGUUGGUCUGAGAGGACGACCAGCCACACUGGGACUGAGACACGGCCCAGACUCCUACGGGAGGCAGCAGUCGGGAAUUUUGGACAAUGGGCGCAAGCCUGAUCCAGCAAUGCCGCGUGCAGGAAGAAGGCCUUCGGGUUGUAAACUGCUUUUGUCAGGGAAGAAAUCCCCUAGGCUAAUACCUUGGGGGGAUGACGGUACCUGAAGAAUAAGCACCGGCUAACUACGUGCCAGCCGCCGCCGUAA